Chrysemys picta bellii (western painted turtle) is the source of this 3545-nucleotide non-coding RNA. The record is from RefSeq and is a predicted model, not a curated record. Lineage: Eukaryota; Metazoa; Chordata; Testudines; Emydidae.
AAAGACCCCGCCCACUAGCCGCGCGCACUUUUUUUCAAACCCAGCUGGAGCUGUCAUUGGUCAGUAUGCUGACAGGGCGGGGAUAUCGUGGCCGCGGCCCCGCCCUCCGUCCUGUCAUUGGGCGCUCAGGAUGCGAAUUCGAAUCAGGGCAGUUUGUGGUUCGCGCUUGUAGGUCGCUGGGACUGGGGGGCAGGAGCUCUCAGGGACACCGUCCGACCGGAACUUCUAAAUCGCCUUCCGCGGCAUUACCCAGCGCCGGCGGGUGCAGUGCGAGAAACUCCUGCAGCAGUUACCCAUGAGUCUCUCCUGCUCCGCUCCACCCUUCUCUGCUGGGCCCUUCCACAGAGGCGCCUCUGUUGCUCCUGGACCAUCACAUCCUUCCUGCACCGGCAGCUUCACCCCUACCAGACCCAUCUUCUGAUUCCGAGUAGUCUUGCGAACCGGACCCCACCUUUUCACCUGCAUGGUCCUACAGCCUGGACCCUUGGCUCCCAUCGUACCCUCCGGUGUAUGCUCUACCGGCUGACCCGUGGUUCCACUACCUGCAGGUGCCGCUGAUGCCUGGCGACCCCUAUGCCUGGCCCUACUGGGCUGCCUGGAACCCCUACCAUGAGCGCAGGAUGCCAUCUCGCUUGCAGCACUGCCUGUCCCCAACAUACAUAGCCCCUCCCCUCUGUCUUUGAGGAACCUCUGGCCAUCCCCGCUCCGGUGGCACCAACAGCAUCUUUGCCACCUCUGGUCCAUAUGGCUGCCUUCUCAUCUCCAGGCAAUGCCAUCAUUCUUCCCACCACCCUCCCUCGCCGACCGCUUGCAGUACCAGGACUUACUUCGACGCAUGGCCACAGCCCUCAAUCUACCUGUCGAAGACGUCCAAGACCCACAGGAUUAAUUCCUGGACAUCCUACAACCCCUUGUUGACUCAUGUACCACCCUUCGUAUCCACAAUGCCCUUCUACAACUGGCCCAGGCCAUUUGGCACACUCCGGCCUCCAGUGCCCCUACACCAAAGUGGAAUGCUGAUUCUUCAUGCCCCCUAAGGGCAUGGACUUUCUUUUCGCACACCCAUCCCCCAACUCACUGGUGGUCCAAGCCACGACCAAGCGUGCCUGCCAACAACACCUGCAGUCCACGUCCCCUGAUUGGGUCGCCAAGAAGUUGGAUCUCCUGGGCUUCAAGGUCUACUCCUCCUCUGGUCUCCAAUUCUGCAUUGCCAGCUACCAGGCCAUCCUGGCCAAGCAUGAUUUCCUUUCAUACUCCAAGCUCAUGGACUUCCAGGCCUUCCUCCUCCCAUAGAAACAAUAGGACUUCCAACAUCUCCUAGAUGAGGAAAAGUUGGUGGUCAAGGUGACUCUCCAGGCCAUAGUUGAUGCUGCCGAUAUGGCGUCCCACUCGCUGGCAUCCAGAGUUGUCCUUCGCCAGGAUUCCUGGCUCCAGUCUAGCGGCUUCUUGCAUGAGGUCCUGACUACCCCGAGGACCUCCCUUUUGACCACCACAAGUUGUUUAAUGACAAAACAGAUGACUCUUUGCAUACCCUCAAAGACUCUCGUGCCACACUUCGGUCACUGGUCCUUUAUACUCUGUCCCCUGCCUUUGCCAGCAACGAUGUCCACCAGGCGUUGGCCUUUUACCUCCAGCGCACUUGUGACUUCCGGGCCUCCCCUCAGCUCUUUUUUGCCAUUGCGGAGUGUUGCCGCAGCCACACCCUUUCAUCGCAACGACUCUCCAAAUAGAUUUCUCUUUGCAUCACGGGCUGCUACACAUUCUCCCGUACACACACACACAUCCCCCAGGAGUCAUGGCUCACUCCGCACGGGCACAUGCUGCUACAUCCUCACCAGCUUCGCUUUCUGUUCCAAAGCCUCAUCCUUGUCAGAGUCCUCACUGUGUUCUGCCACACGUCCGAGGAGAUCGUCUCUGAUAACCAAGCUGUGACAGAGUAGGGAGUAUUAACCUGAUAAUGUUGCAUGGGAGUUUUACUAGUUUACUGUCUGCAUUGAUACCAGAUGGUGAUGGGAAAUAAGGGUGUGACUUCACUAAGGGAUGAUACUUGACGAUUAGCACGUAAAGGAUGUCUGCUGCCUUUCAUAACCUGAGCCCAGGAGGGGGUUGGGGCCAGGUGACACCUUCUGCCUGGGAAACUGGACAAAGCCUGGAGGAGAAGCCGGGGUGUGUGGCUGGGGGAGACUGCUGGAGGGAGUUUCAGUUUGGAGCUGGCUGGGGAGACAUGGGGAGGCCCAGAACCUGGGUCUUGGCUCCCCAACCCCCAAGAUGGACCUGAGUGAGAGGUCCUGUUUUUAGUACCUACAAGCUCUGUUUUAAACUGUGUUCCUGUCAUCUAAUAAAUCUGUUUUACUGGCUGGCUGAGAGUCACAGUGAAUCGCAGGAUGUGGGGGAUACAUGGCCCUGACUUCCCCGCACUCCAUGACAACUACUCCCUACUCAGUCACAUCUCUCCCCCCUUCAAGACUGAACUGAGUGGGGUCACUCUAACCAGUGACCUGGGGAAGUUCGGGGCCCCCUCACCAGGACAAUGCAUCAGCUACCACAUUGGCACUCCCCUCACAUGGACCACCUUCAUAUCAUAAUCCUCCAGGAGCAGGCUCCACCUCAGGAAGUUGGCAUUGAUGGUGAUGGCAUUAAGCUUCCGAUAGUCCACACAGAACCAGAUCGACGUGUCCAUUUUGGGGACCAGCACCAGAAGUGAGGCCCAAGGGCUGGAAGAUGGCUGAAUCACCCCCAAAGGCAGCAUGUCACUGACCUCUCUUUCCAGGUCUUGAGCAGUUUUCCCUGUGACUCGGAAGGGGGAGCAUCUUAUAGGAGGAUGUGAUCCUGUCUCCAACCGGUGGACAGUGAGAUUAGUGAAUCCAGGCUGGUUGGAAAGCAGCUGUUGGUACAAAUGCAGAACCCCUCUGAUCUCAGCUUGCUGGGCAGGUGUUAGCUGAUCAGAGAGGGGAAUUGGUUCCAGGGAGGAGCCAGCUCCUGUCUCAGGGAAUAGAUCUACUAAAGGGUCAUCUCCCUGCUCCUCCCAAUGUCUACACACAGCCAACACCACAUUUCCCCCUGUCAUAAUAUGGCUUCAUCAUAUUAACAUGGUACACCCGGUGGCAGUGUGACCAGUUAGUUCCACCACAUAGUUUACCUCAUUUAGUUGCUUGACAACCUUGAAAGGGCCUUCCCAGGUGGCUUGUAGUUUGUUUUUUCUCACGAUCCCAGUGGCAUAGGCUAUAAACAGGGUGCCUUGUCAUGAAACUUUGGGUUCGUCCUGCCAAGACUUUCCCGGAGCAAUGUGUUGUGACCAACAAAACCUGGUUCCUACCUACCCACAAUCAACCUAGCUGGCCACUAAAUUGAUAUGGACUCUGGACUGGUAACUAUAACAUUGACUGGUGGGACAGUGUGUGGUGUGAUUGAAUACUUAUGCUAAUUAUUGUAUCUUCAAUAAACACGGUGUAUUGCCUUUUCCCCUGAAAAAGAUCCCAUGUACACCUUUACCCCAAUAUAACGCUGUCCUCGGGAGCCAAAAAAUCUUACUGCGUUAUAGGUGA